CAUUUAAUGGUUGGCAGUAGAGGUAACUGUAUUUUGCUGAGAUCUCUGUGUGCUGAGGUCUUCUGAAGACAAUUCCCUCUGCUGUGGGAUCCUUUUCAUCUGCUGCAGGAUCAACCAAAAACACCAUGAGAGAGUCCAAGAGAGCUCCCUGUGUCAGAAACAUCAGCAGUGAUGACCUGCAGCCACACGAUAUAUGGAUCAGCUCUGAGAAGACAGCUUUGUGCAGCAGGAGCCAAGGCAUAUGGUACUCAAUGUACACAAGGCCAGAGAGUAAAGACAUGAGACGUUUGAAUUAAGCACGAAGGGCAGGCAGUGCCAGCAAAGACACAGACACGGUCACAGCAGUACAAUUUUAAAUGUCUGUAACAGGCAGAUAAAAAGAAGAGAGAAAAGCUAUACAUGCCAGCACCAUCUUGACUGCUGCUUGGAACUGUGACCCCCCUUCUGUUCUCGCCUCAUGCAUCCUCUCUUCAUCCUCAUGCCCCUGAUCACAACCCUGGGGAAGGAGGCCAGGAGGACAAUGCCAUCCUCACGUUUUGUAUGGGCUGGGGCUGCUGUCCAAUGAGUCUUGCUUGUUCUGCCGGCUUGAUUUAUGUUUGGCUCUGUCACUUUCUUUCUUAUGGGAGCUAUGGUAGCAGUAAUUAGGAAUCAAGAAGCCCCUGACAGACAAGUUAUUUUAACUAGGACAAGUCUGUCAGUGAAAUAUAAUAAGAUUAAGGCAUAUGAUAGGUAUGGCUGAUUUUUUUCUUUCUGGAGGUUAGAACGUUUUCUUUUUGAGAAACUCCUUUGAUUCCUCCACAGUCUGCCUAAUGGCAUUUCUCCCUGACAAAAACACUCUUGUUCUUCUCUUGAUGUGAAUUGUUUCAGAUAUUGAAAUCUUUUGUUUUGUUUUGUUUUUAAUGCUUGUCCAGCAAAACCAGUACGUUACUUUGGUCUGGAAUCUAGAAGGAUGUAUUUGUCUGCUCACCUCAAGUGUUUCCUUGGAUGCUGUUUACUUGGAGAGUAGACGGCCAGAAGGACCUUAAGAUCACUUAUACAACCUCUUACAUAUUACAGAUCGUUAGGUUUCACUGAGUUAUCUCUGUAUUGAAAGAGUAUAAUGAAGGAGAAACAGUGAAACAGCUCUUAGUCUAAGGGCAACCUGCUCUUGUAAGGCCUUUUCUUGUGCUACUCAAGAUGUUGAUUACCUAGCUUGCAAAUGGAGUAAUUAACAUCCUCUGCUGUGAAGUAUGUCUUCCUUCCCAGUUAAGGGAGUCAGGUUAGCACUCCUUACUCACACAAAAGGGACUAGACGUGGAUAGCUCUGAGUGUGGAAACAGCAAUGGCAAGAUCCUUUCCUAAGGCAGGAAAGCAAGUGGAUGCUUCUAGACAAGUAUCAUGGCUGUGUUAUUGUGUAAUCCCCAAAAUAUUUUCCAAGUCAUGGGCCCUAGUGUGCCUCCUAUCUGUCCCUGAGACUGCUUUGCCCCAUGUAGAGCAGAGCUCUCCUUUGCAGCCCAACUGUGCCAGCACAUCUGCUACAGGAGGACGCUUCUUUUACACAACAGGGUUUCCCAAACCCAUGCAUCAGCUGGAGGGGUGACAGCAAAAAUGAACAAAGUCUGUGAGAUGGAGUUGUCUGUUUGUGUGCACAACUUAAAGGUGAGUGAGGAAAUAAAGUAGUAUUGCAUUGUCAUACUCCUGCUGAAAAGGAUUUCUCAAUACCUGUUUCUUCAACCUCAUGAGGAAUUGGUUUGAUUUUUCUCAUAUCUGUACUGCAGUUUCUGAUUGAUGAGAAGUAGCAGAUUGAGAAGGGUUAUUAUUCUUUUCAUAGAAAACCAGGAUUAUUUAAAGAAUUUGUUAGUUCUGGACAAGUAGAGACACUUAAAUCAGGGAGUAGGUUAGGCUGACAUUUAAUUAUGUAAUGAGGAAGGAGAGGAAGCAUACAAAAAAAAAGAACAAACAAAAAUAAUUGUAAUGUGGUUUAUUGAAUAGCACAAAUAGAUUGAAUAUGCUAUUGGGCUGCACAAAAACAGCAUCACACGAUUAUUAAGAGUUCAUUUCUUUUUUUACUCGCAGAUUAGGGACUUUCUCCUUGUUGCUUUUCCAGUACUGAAUAUCAACAAGGGAAAUAACUGUCUGCCUGCAGCUUUCUGAGGAUGUGCUGUUAUUGCUUUCUUUUGAGAUUCAUCUUGCUUUUCAGCCUGAGAUUUUGAGUCUGUGGGUGACCUAUUCUACAAGCAAAGCAGGGAAGUUAAUAGAAUUCUUAAUUAACCUCUGAAGGAUUCAUUUAUUUUGUCACCAAAUUAGGCAAAGGGCAAGUAGGUAAAUGUCUACAACUGUCCAAAAGCUACUGGUGACUGCAUGGCUACUACGUACUCUGCUGAAAUUACAGCUGCAGCAGUGAAGUAAGUGAAAUCUUGAAGCAGAGGCAAUCAGAUGUGAGAUGGGAUCUCUACCUGUCCUCCUCAAGAGAAAUGGAGCUAUCCCAGAUGCUUUAUUUUUGAACCGGCCAUGAACCUUGUCCAAUUGUAAGCUGAGGUAUUCACAGAUUAUUUAUUGUAUUUUUGAUUGUGUCUUUGUUGCUCACCCGAGGUGAUGGAACCUGAUAAAUUCAAUUUAAUUUUACCUUUUCUGUAUUGUAUAAUCUGUCUUUUUUAUAUGGACUCAGCUGCUUGGUUUCAGGCACCAAUGAUAUUGCAGUGUAGUUCUAUGUAUGUGUGUAAAUAUUCCCCUACAAGAGCCAAAAAUAUUACAGUCAGUUUGGUAUAUUCCCCUCUGCAACUAAUGAGAAAGAUAUAGUAUUUCUGUGGUGGAUGUGAAAAAUAGGCAUUGUCACCCCAGAGCCUCCCACACCUGUGUAUGAUCUGGGUCCUGUGUCUCUCCCUGCCUGUGCCACAGGGCAGUGAGGAGGGAAGGGAGAAGCAGCUCAGUGUGCACGCCUCCAUGUUUCUUUUCCUCUUGCUUUGUCAGUUAUCUGUGUCUUACUGAGGUGUUGGGGAUGGCUGGAGAGGCAGGGCUUUUGCAAUAAAAAUUUUCCUGAUAGGAGGCUUGAAGGAUUUCAAAUAGAGAACUUUUGUGUACACCAGUACCUGCCCUCUCUGCCAUUGCCUGUCCCCUAGCAGCACAACGGAGUCUG
Meleagris gallopavo (turkey) is the source of this 3115-nucleotide non-coding RNA. NCBI's taxonomy places the organism in Eukaryota, Metazoa, Chordata, Aves, Galliformes, Phasianidae. The record is from RefSeq and is a predicted model, not a curated record.